This 492-nucleotide ribosomal RNA is filed under the name uncultured bacterium. Its description in RNAcentral is "partial 16S ribosomal RNA". It matches the Rfam family "Bacterial small subunit ribosomal RNA", at positions 28 to 507 of the family's 1533-position model. The record is from RNAcentral.
GAUGAACGCUAGCUACAGGCUUAACACAUGCAAGUCGAGGGGAAACGACAUCGAAAGCUUGCUUUUGAUGGGCGCCGACCGGCGCACGGGUGAGUAACGCGUAUCCAACCUGCCCACCACUUGGGGAUAACCUUGCGAAAGUAAGACUAAUACCCAAUGAUAUCUCUAGAAGACAUCUGAAAGAGAUUAAAGAUUUAUCGGUGAUGGAUGGGGAUGCGUCUGAUUAGCUUGUUGGCGGGGUAACGGCCCACCAAGGCAACGAUCAGUAGGGGUUCUGAGAGGAAGGUCCCCCACAUUGGAACUGAGACACGGUCCAAACUCCUACGCGAGGCAGCAGUGAGGAAUAUUGGUCAAUGGAGGAGAGUCUAAACCAGCCAAGUAGCGUGCAGGAAGACGGCCCUAUGAGUUGUAAACUGCUUUUAAAAGGGAAUAAAGUGAGUCUCGUGAGACUUUUUGCAGGUACCUAAUGAAUAAGGACCGGCUAAUUCCGUG